This 52-nucleotide small nucleolar RNA is filed under the name Pyrococcus furiosus DSM 3638. Its description in RNAcentral is "PFUsR18". It matches the Rfam family "Small nucleolar RNA sR18". Lineage: Archaea; Methanobacteriati; Methanobacteriota; Thermococci; Thermococcales; Thermococcaceae. The record is from RNAcentral.
AUGAUGAAACAGCCAGGACCCUGAUGAGAUGAUGAAUGGUGGGCUUAGCUGA